GAUGAAGAACGUAGCGAAAUGCGAUACUUGGUGUGAAUUGCAGAAUCCCGUGAACCAUCGAAUCUUUGAACGCAAGUUGCGCCCGAAGCCAUUAGGCCGAGGGCACGCCUGCCUGGGCGUCACACGUCGUUGCCCCCCCAUCUACUCCUUCGGGAUUGCGGGGGGCGGAUGAUGGCCUCCCGUGCGCCUCGUCGCGCGGUUGGCAUAAAUGCCAAGUCCUCGGCGACGCACGCCACGACAAUCGGUGGUUGCGAAACCUCGGUUGCCCGUCGUGUGCGGUCGUCGCGCAUCGAGGGCUCGAAAAAAUUGCCGGGCUCCGGCUCGGCUUUCAACGCGACCCCAGGUCAGGCGGGGUUACCCGCUGAAUUUAAGCAUAUCAAUAAGCGGAGGA
Molecule: unclassified non-coding RNA, 391 nt
Filed under: soil metagenome
Description: partial contains 5.8S ribosomal RNA, internal transcribed spacer 2, and large subunit ribosomal RNA
Rfam family: 5.8S ribosomal RNA (bases 1-122)
Source: RNAcentral